Molecule: ribosomal RNA, 1325 nt
Filed under: metagenome
Description: bacterial LSU rRNA
Rfam family: Bacterial large subunit ribosomal RNA
Source: RNAcentral
AGUGGAUGGGGAACAACCUAGUUGUGCGCGUGUAAAGGUAGUGCCAAGAAAAGCGGUGAUCAUGAUGAAAAUCAAUUCCCGGUACCCGAAACCGACACAGGUGGGCAAGUAGAGAAUACUAAGGGGCGCGAGGUAACUCUCUCCAAGGAACUCGGCAAAAUGACCCCGUAACUUAGGGAGAAGGGGUGCCACCGAGAGGUGGUCGCAGUGAAGAGGCCCAGGCGACUGUUUAGCAAAAACAUAGGUCUCUGCAAACUCGAAAGAGGAGGUAUAGGGGCUGACGCCUGCCCAGUGCCGGAAGGUUAAAGAAGUUGGUCAGUCUUAGGAUGAAGCUAGCGACUGAAGCCCCGGUGAACGGCGGCCGUAACUAUAACGGUCCUAAGGUAGCGAAAUUCCUUGUCGGGUAAGUUCCGACCCGCACGAAAGGCGUAACGAUCUGGGCGCUGUCUCGGAGAGAGGCUCGGCGAAAUAGGAUUGUCUGUGAAGAUACGGACUACCUGCAUUUGGACAGAAAGACCCUAUGAAGCUUUACUAUAGCUUGGAAUUGUGUUCGGGCUUCCUGUGCGCAGGAUAGGUGGGAGGCGUAGAAGGUAUUCUUGUGGGGAUACUGGAGCCAACGGUGAGAUACCACUCUCAGGAGGCUAGAAUUCUAACUUAAUUAAGGACAGUUUCAGGUGGGUAGUUUGACUGGGGCGGUCGCCUCCAAAAAGGUAACGGAGGCGUACAAAGGUUCCCUCAGACUGGUUGGAAAUCAGUCGCAGAGUGCAAAGGCAGAAGGGAGCUUGACUGCGAGAAGUACAGUUCGAGCAGGGUGGAAACACGGUCUUAGUGAUCCGACGGUGCUGUGUGGAAGGGCCGUCGCUCAACGGAUAAAAGUUACUCUAGGAUAACAGGCUGAUCUCCCCCAAGAGUUCACAUCGACGGGGAGGUUUGGCACCUCGACGUCGGCUCAUCGCAACCUGGGGCGGGAGUACGUCCCAAGGGUUGGGCUGUUCGCCCAUUAAAGCGGUACGUGAGCUGGGUUCAGAACGUCGUGAGACAGUUCGGUCCAUAUCCGAUGUAGGCGUGAGAAUAUUGAGAGGAGCCUUCCUUAGUACGAGAGGACCGGGAAGGACGCACCGCUGGUGUACCUGUUAUGAUGCCAAUUGUAAACGCAGGGUAGCCAAGUGCGGAGAGGAUAACCGCUGAAAGCAUCUAAGUGGGAAGCCCACCUCAAGAUGAGUAUUCUGGUGUAAGGUCACGGGAAGACGACCCGUAAAUAGGCACGAGGUGGAAGUGCAGAGAUGUAUGAAGCCGAAGUGUACUAAUAGACCGUCGGCUUGACC